GAUGAACGCUGGCGGCGUGCUUAACACAUGCAAGUCGAACGAGAAAUGUAGACGGAAACCUUCGGGCGGAAGCCUUCAUUUCGAGUGGCGGACGGGUGAUUAACGCGUGGGUAACCUGCCUCAUACAGGGGGAUAACAGUUGGAAACGACUGUUAAUACCGCAUAAGACCACAGCAUCGCAUGAUGCGGGGGUAAAAACUCCGGUGGUAUGAGAUGGACCCGCGUUCGAUUAGCCAGUUGGCGGGGUAACGGCCCACCAAAGCGACGAUCGAUAGCCGAUCUGAGAGGAUGACCGGCCACAUUGGGACUGAGACACGGCCCAAACUCCUACGGGAGGCAGCAGUGGGGAAUAUUGCACAAUGGGGGAAACCCUGAUGCAGCGACGCCGCGUGAGUGAAGAAGUACUUCGGUAUGUAAAGCUCUAUCAGCAGGGAAGAAAAUGACGGUACCUGAGUAAGAAGCCCCGGCUAACUACGUG
RNAcentral lists this ribosomal RNA (478 nucleotides) under uncultured bacterium. RNAcentral describes it as "partial 16S ribosomal RNA". It matches the Rfam family "Bacterial small subunit ribosomal RNA", at positions 28 to 507 of the family's 1533-position model. The record is from RNAcentral.